Molecule: long non-coding RNA, 203 nt
Organism: Lynx canadensis (Canada lynx)
Lineage: Eukaryota; Metazoa; Chordata; Mammalia; Carnivora; Felidae
Exons: 2
Source: RefSeq, a predicted model, not a curated record
GCCCCACACUUUGUGACUUUAGACAAGUCACUUAACUCGUCACAAGUUCCAAGACCAUCCCCCCUCUGCUGCCAAAUCUCUCUUGUGUCCCAGUGGGCCCAGGAGCUGUUGGAGUUUUGUGAAUCAAGGCCUUUUCCCACCUGGAUGUCACCCAGGAGGUCACCAAACCUGCCUGCAGAGGGCAUGAUGCUAUACAUAGGAAA